Molecule: small RNA, 653 nt
Filed under: Pan troglodytes (chimpanzee)
Lineage: Eukaryota; Metazoa; Chordata; Mammalia; Primates; Hominidae
Description: retained intron
Source: RNAcentral
CAGCUAUCUUCUGUAGUAUACUUUAUAAACAGGAGACAGUCCUGAUUCCUCCCUCAAUGUUGGGGGUGGGCAGAAGAUUUUCCUUAGGGCACCCAAGGGGAAAAUGCAGGCACAGUGUAUCUGAGAGGGGUGGCAGGACCUAGAGGCCAUCCCUCAAGAUCUGUGGUCCACAGAUGUACCUAUAACCAAGCCAAUCAUUUUCAAAGCCCUGUGAUAGAGGUUGCCUUAUUGAUCCCUUACCACCUCCUUCUGGGGCAAAUUGAGCAAAUAUUAUUCCUCUUUAUGGACAUAAAGAAAAAUUGGGACCGAGGAAGAUAAGGCAACUUGCCCCAGGGGUCACAGGCAGCCAGUGGCAGAGCUAAGGAUUGGGAUUCAGUGUCCCCAUGACAGCUUCCUGCCCUCAGCCUCUGAGAACAGCGAUGGCGAAGCUAAGACCAGGCAUGGGUAGAGGGUCUGCUGUCCAUUCCUCUCUCUCCCUUGCAGGUGAUGCUGGUGAAAAACUUAUCGGUGUCUCGGGGCCUGGUGAAUGGUGCCCGAGGGGUGGUAGUUGGGUUCGAGGCAGAAGGGAGAGGGCUACCCCAGGUGCGGUUCCUGUGUGGAGUCACUGAGGUCAUCCAUGCUGACCGCUGGACGGUGCAGGCCACCGGGGGCCA